Mercurialis annua (annual mercury) is the source of this 614-nucleotide long non-coding RNA. RefSeq lists it as uncharacterized. Lineage: Eukaryota; Viridiplantae; Streptophyta; Magnoliopsida; Malpighiales; Euphorbiaceae. The transcript has 3 exons. The record is from RefSeq and is a predicted model, not a curated record.
UUUAAACUCAGAAUAAUUCCAUUUUCAGCUUCCAAAAACGAGCUCAUCUCCUUCCUUAGAGAAAUCAACAUGAAAAAAUUUUCAAAACUCCAUAACUUCUUCGUUUUUGAUCCGAUUGGAGUGAUUCUUGCGGCAACGGAAAGAGGAAAACGAUACCUACUGAUUGAGAUCAUCAAAUCAAGACUUGACGAGGCGACUACCAAUGGAAUCCGAAACUUACAGAACGCGAGAUCGCUAGGUAUUAUCGAAGAUUAUGGAUAGCAAGCGUGUGUUUUCAGGUACCUAGAUUCUGAACUUGGCUAGAAGUCCGUCUUUGACCGGAAGUCCCUUUGGCUAUGUACAGUCCCGACUUCCAUAAUUGCUGCAGUAGUAUAAUGUUUGACUAGUGUCGUAGCCUAGUAAAUUAAUAUGUUUUUCCUUGUUUACAGUUGUUGACAAUGUGUUUAUGUUUGUUUUGGCUACGAUUGUCAUAUUUAUUCCACGGAGGUAAAUUCCCGUGAGGUGUAUGUAACACUAGUAUUGUACGCCGGGUUAGUACGUACAAGGUACAGAAACGAUAGGCCCGAGCAAGUUGUAAUGUUUUGCUAGUGUAUAUAAAUGCUUCCGUUUGUAAA